GCCUGGCUGAAGAUAAUAAACUUAGUACUUUUUGAGAGGCAAUCCAGUUCCAGCUUUUACUUUUGCUUUCUUUUGUAUUUUAUUUAAGUUAAUCAAGUCUUGCUUCGUAUCUUUUGAAGGGAUUUGAGCACAAUAUUGGCUAAGUUAGGGGAAAACUAAUUUUGAAAAAACUUCUAGAUCAGGUGACAUCUCUUUUUUUUUCUCUUUUUAUGCA
RNAcentral lists this long non-coding RNA (214 nucleotides) under Elaeis guineensis (African oil palm). RNAcentral's name for it is "long non-coding RNA (EGUI_LNC032449)". The record is from RNAcentral. Lineage: Eukaryota; Viridiplantae; Streptophyta; Magnoliopsida; Arecales; Arecaceae.